Molecule: long non-coding RNA, 3223 nt
Filed under: Triticum aestivum (bread wheat)
Lineage: Eukaryota; Viridiplantae; Streptophyta; Magnoliopsida; Poales; Poaceae
Description: long non-coding RNA (TAES_LNC003669)
Source: RNAcentral
CUAUUGUCUUGAGCGCGUAUGAUUGUGGUCGUCGAUGACUAUACCGUGAUAUGUGCAAAGUUGAUGAAGAUAGCUUGAGCAACCUUUUUCUUCUGAAAGCUAUUGAUCACAAAAUUUGUAAUGACAAUUUAACUUCAGAAAGAACAUUGAAACAUGGAUCCUUCUCUCAAUCGAAGAAGUUGAUGUGCUUAAUUACUAAGAGAGAACCCAUAGAUCUCAAGCCAACAAUAAUAAGCAUUUAAGCUACUUAUAACUUGAUUUUCCAUGAGAAAAGAACAUAUGUUAAAUCAUAUUUAAAAUAUUAUGAAGUCAUAAAAGCAUAGAAGCAUCAGAAUUUUCCACUGAAGACACUAUGUUAGUGCACCAAAAAAUAGGUCAAGAGAAGUGAAAGGAAAAAAGAUCAAGUAAAUAACACAUGGAAGGAGAUCUACAGGAAGUAAUUAUUCGCUUGUACGUAUCAAGUUAUUUUUAAGAAAGGAUAAGAAGGGCAUAUAUAGGGGAGUAUGUAUUUUGUUUUCUAGAAUACGCCCGAGUAUGCCUAUUAUGCAUUAAAGGAGAGGGGAAAAGAACCCCAGCGAAGAACUCUUCCAUGUUUUACACAUAACGUAAUUAGAGUUGAAUUAACUGAACUGGUACAAAUAGGGGAGUAUGUACAGCAAAACUGCACACUUCCAUGUUUUACUGAUACCGCCAUUAGAGCUAAAUUAACUGAACUGAAUCUGUUCCUUGUAUGAGCAAAAAUACUAAGCUUUUAACUGUACAACCCCACAGCCAGUCAAAUGAUGCAUAUAACUGCUGCAUGCUAUGUGGGAGCGGGAAAAAACACUUCUUAAGGUAAUUUAAACAUCCAACAGUUGGUGGAAAAACUAUAUUACUACAGUCAGAAUCCAUAUAUGAAAACAAAGUAAGUAAAAGAAAAAUGAAAUGGAAAACGCUCCACACAAAAUAUAGAUAUGUAUGAACUGCUAGGAUAGAAAAUAAAUUAAGGAAUGCCUUGGAGAGAACUAUUUACACAUGAAAGAAGUGAGCUAUCAUGCUGGAAAUUCGGAUGCAUGACUAAACAUCCCACCAGGAAUAAAAAUGAGGUAAGCUGCUAGAUCUUGCCUGUUGGUAAAUGCCUGGCCAUUUUUUUUACAAAAAGUUUCUAAAUUCAGAUUGGAUAGAACAAAUAAAGCAUUGUUUACCCUUUACAUAACUUACCUGGUGAUAGCAAGUAAAAAUACUCCUACCAAAGCUUCUACACCAUCUUAUCAUGUUAAUGCAUAUAUUUUUGUAAGUUACUCAAAUAUGGACCACGAUCUCCUAGAGACCCAAAGACCAAUUACGUGGUAGAGUAAUGUCUAAAUAGAGGAAGCACGAUGUUAGUUGUCCAUGUGCCUGAUACGAUUUGCACUUUUUUUGUUUGAAAAAAAAAUCAAUUUACACCUGCACGCCAAGAGUUCAUGGUUACACAAAAUAAUCAGAAGAGUUCAGGUUCACUGAAAGUUCAAUAUAGAAUAACGCAUCGUCGAUGUGUUAUACACACAUGUUGAAUGCAAGGAAUAAUAAACCACUAACUGGACCAUAUCCAAUGUUAAAUACAUCGCAGAAUCUAUAUUGGUGGAAUAGUCUUGCUACUUCUCACUGAAAGUAUUGCUGAGGGAAAAAGUACAAUUCAAACCAUAGUUUUAAAUAGGAGUUAUAGCCCGCUAUAGCUGAUUCGGAGGUCCGCCCCUAUUAUCCAUAGCCCGCUAUUUAUAACAUUGGUUCAAACCCUGAUCUGGACUACAUCAUCACACAUAGGACCGUUGAGAAGAUCUCAUGGAAGCAAUCAAUUAAACAGUUCACGUAUGAGAAACUUGACACCUAUGUCUCUUGGACAUGAGAUAAGGCACAGUAAUACCACAAAGAAGUAGAAGCAAUAUGAUUAUUUGUAGUUCUAUGAAAUAAACAUUCCAGUCAAAAACUACAAUUACGGAUUGCUAAAUUUGCAUGUGACAUUUCUCCACAUUAGGGUACUACAAUGGUCAAUUUUACAAUCUCCCCUACUUUAUUUUUACUUUUAUCUUUGAAGGGCAGCACAUAUGAAUCUGAGAGAAGAUAUACCUUUUAUGACUGCUAAACACCGUCACCAUAAUAUCUCAAUAGUAAUAAUUCCUCUUUCGUAUGACCAGGCUUUCUAAGGCAUUCUCUUUUUGUACAUCACGAACUCAUCAAUCUGAAAAAAAAACAAAUAGACAAAGUCAAGUAAAUAUAUACCAUCAUAGAAGAUAGUCAUCCAGAUAUUCAUUUGCUUGAUCUGAUAUUAAUUUGCAAAUAAAAAAGAGAUCAUCCAAUUACAUAAAAAAAAUCAUAAAAGAUAUUCAAGUACACGCCAUAAGCAUAUUGGCAUCAUGAUUGGUAAAACCAGGAACAAAGUGAGCACUUGUGAAAAGGCAUCCCUGCACUAAACUAAUUGCUCCGGCCAUACGUCCACAAAAUAGUACACCCAUGGAACAGAAAACAUGUAAAUACUUCAUCCCUUGUGUUGAGAUAAUGCCAUGUUGGUUGCGUACUGAAAAAAGCACACAUAUUUUUUACGUUGGCUUAGUUUGGUCAAUUGACCGAACACAUUGCAGUUGACUUGAACACCGAUGUCGGAAGAGCUGAAUGCUACAGCUGGACCGUGCGGAUAAACUGCAGGCAGACACGCGAAUGCAUCAGCUAGCACACACAUGACGCAGCUGCAGCAGGAGCACACAAGCCGCACAUGCACGCGACAUAUCACAUGGCCAAGAGAGUGCCGAGUGGCAGCCGGCGUGCACUCGCCGCAAAGGGGAGCAACAGCGAGAUUGGGCACCUCCUCAGGUUGGCUUCUGGGGCGGAAUGUUGGCAUCGCCUGGCUCGAGCCCCUCCUCUUCGUGGGGCUCGACCAGAGGGAGGAAGAGGAGUGGAGAAAAAAACAAAGAAGGAAUCUGCGCCAUGGAUGCCUGCUCUGUUCGCUGCUCUCGUGGAGGCGUGCACUUGCGAUUAGAAGAUGUGACAAGGAAGGCAAGAAGAAAAACGAACAGAAGGCGGCUGGCCCGGACGGCGACCACCACUUAGAUUCAAGCCACCGCCGGCCAUACGUCCCAAGAAAAAAAAGGACACCCAGCUGCUCACCUGACGCUGGAAAAGAUCGAGCCUUCUUCAAGAUGGAGACGGUCCGGUCCAGGCAAGGGUCGUCGGGAGGAGGAAGUAGCCAGAGAAAUCGUCGGCAGGGCGU